UUAAAAGAAAGUUGAAA
RNAcentral lists this small RNA (17 nucleotides) under Arabidopsis thaliana (thale cress). RNAcentral describes it as "ATSL282320". Lineage: Eukaryota; Viridiplantae; Streptophyta; Magnoliopsida; Brassicales; Brassicaceae. The record is from RNAcentral.